CAGGCAGGUUCCAGAAUGUUCUUCAGCUGGUGAUCCUUGUAUGGGGAAUGGAAGCUGGUUUAGAAAGGCUGUGGCGAUGUUGGCAGGGAUGUUGGGUUUGGGGGGGCUGUGACUCUGACUCCUUGAGGACAACCAUCUGGUCCUUUCUGCACUCCACAGUCAGGUGGACAACCGUCUGGUUCUGUCUGCACUCCCCAGCCAGGUAGACAACAGUCUGGUUCUGUCUGCACUCCCCAGCCAGGUAAACAACCGUCUGGUUCUGUCUGCACUCCACAGCCAGGUAGACAACCGUCUGGUUCUGUCUGCACUCCACAGUCAGGUAGACAACCGUCUGGUUCUGUCUGCACUCCACAGCCAGGUAGACAACCGUCUGGUUCUGUCUGCACUCCACAGCCAGGUAGACAACCGUCUGGUUCUGUCUGCACUCCACAGCCAGGUAGACAACCAUCUGGGUCUGUCUGCACUCCACAGCCAGGUAGACAACCGUCUGGUUCUGUCUGCACUCCACAGUCAGGUAGACAACCGUCUGGGUCUGUCUGCACUCCACAGCCAGGUAGACAACCGUCUGGUUCUGUCUGCACUCCACAGCCAG
RNAcentral lists this long non-coding RNA (592 nucleotides) under Salmo salar (Atlantic salmon). Its description in RNAcentral is "lncRNA (ENSSSAG00000102758.1)". The record is from RNAcentral. Lineage: Eukaryota; Metazoa; Chordata; Actinopteri; Salmoniformes; Salmonidae.